UACGGAGGAGGCAAGCGUUAUCCGGAAUUAUUGGGCGUAAAGCGUCCGUAGGUGGUUCACCAAGUCUGCUGUCAAAGGGUGGGGCUUAACCUCAUAAAGGCAGUGGAAACUGGUGAGCUAGAGUGCGGUAGGGGUAAGGGGAAUUCCCAGUGUAGCGGUGAAAUGCGUAGAGAUUGGGAAGAACAUCGGUGGCGAAAGCGCCUUACUGGGCCUGCCCUGACUCUGAGGGACGAAAGCUAGGGGAGCGAAAGGG
Molecule: ribosomal RNA, 253 nt
Filed under: uncultured bacterium
Lineage: Bacteria
Description: partial 16S ribosomal RNA
Rfam family: Bacterial small subunit ribosomal RNA
Source: RNAcentral